RNAcentral lists this ribosomal RNA (505 nucleotides) under uncultured bacterium. Its description in RNAcentral is "partial 16S ribosomal RNA". It matches the Rfam family "Bacterial small subunit ribosomal RNA", at positions 28 to 507 of the family's 1533-position model. The record is from RNAcentral.
GACGAACGCUGGCGGCGUGCCUAAUACAUGCAAGUAGAACGCACAGUUUAUACCGUAGCUUGCUACACCAUAGACUGUGAGUUGCGAACGGGUGAGUAACGCGUAGGUAACCUGCCUGGUAGCGGGGGAUAACUAUUGGAAACGAUAGCUAAUACCGCAUAAUAUUAAUUAUUGCAUGAUAAUUGAUUGAAAGAUGCAACUGCAUCACUACCAGAUGGACCUGCGUUGUAUUAGCUAGUAGGUGAGGUAACGGCUCACCUAGGCGACGAUACAUAGCCGACCUGAGAUGGUGAUCGGCCACACUGGGACUGAGACACGGCCCAGACUCCUACGGGAGGCAGCAGUAGGGAAUCUUCGGCAAUGGACGAAAGUCUGACCGAGCAACGCCGCGUGAGUGAAGAAGGGUGUCGGAUCGUAAAGCUCUGUUGUAAGAGAAGAACGGGUGUGAGAGUGGAAAGUUCACACUGUGACGGUAUCUUACCAGAAAGGGACGGCUAACUACGUG